AAAAAACAUUCUUCUUUAGUUUGUGGAAGUCUUUAAACCUUCACAAGCUAAAGAGUGACAUCGUGAUGGUGAUUCUUUCUGUGUAACAGGAUGUUGAUUAUUCGUCUCACCUUAAGGUGGGCAGAAGAAGAUCAAUGGACUUUUACACUUUAUUGUGGCCAUCUUUGAUAUUCCUUAUAGAGCAUGACAGAAUUCCCCGAAGCGUGACCUGUCAGUUACUGCCGUCAAAAGAAUUCGCUCACAAACAAAAAUAAAGGAGCCGAGCAUUGGCGAAAGCAUGCACACUAUGCACGCAGUCAGCUGGACAAUUGCAAGAGCAUGCAUGUGCAUGCUUAAACUGUGGCUCAUGAUUUACACUCCCAAAUGACUCAUCAUGACAUUAAAUGAAAACGAGAGAGCGAUCAAAUUAUCUUUUAUCCGCCGGCUGCUGCCUGACAGGAUUGCAACUGUGUUUGAAAGUUAAAAAUUUUUUAAAAAGCGGAAAGCCUCUAAGGCUGGGCUGAAGUUCAACGGUUUCAGGAUGUCUGCCAUGCUCCACCCGUGUACUAUGUAAAUCAGACAAAUGAGCAAGAUGCAUGAUGUAAUGAAGGAGAAGACUACAAUGUUUGGGUGUGUCAGAGCAUGGAAAGUUUAAACCAAUGAGGUACCUCGAAGACAAAGAGAGGCAUGAAGUCACCUUUGGAGAGCCCUUUUUUUGAUAGGCAUGAGAAUUUUUAAAAAACUAUUCAGUGCACUUCUGUGAAUUGACGUAUUAUUGAAAUCACUCAUACUGAGUACGUUUCACUUCAAGUUUC
Oreochromis aureus is the source of this 794-nucleotide long non-coding RNA. NCBI's taxonomy places the organism in Eukaryota, Metazoa, Chordata, Actinopteri, Cichliformes, Cichlidae. The record is from Ensembl.